RNAcentral lists this microRNA precursor (60 nucleotides) under Pristionchus pacificus. RNAcentral describes it as "microRNA ppc-mir-8216 precursor". The record is from miRBase by way of RNAcentral. Lineage: Eukaryota; Metazoa; Nematoda; Chromadorea; Rhabditida; Neodiplogasteridae.
CCAGUUACCCGGUCUGGCCCUCCUCGAUCGAGUUUGGAGGCAAGACGUGCGUGGCUGCAU